ACUCUGUGCCAGCAGCCGCGGUAAUACAGAGGGUGCAAGCGUUAAUCGGAAUUACUGGGCGUAAAGCGAGCGUAGGUGGCUUGAUAAGUCAGAUGUGAAAUCCCCGGGCUUAACCUGGGAACUGCAUCUGAUACUGUCAGGCUAGAGUAGGUGAGAGGAAGGUAGAAUUCCAGGUGUAGCGGUGAAAUGCGUAGAGAUCUGGAGGAAUACCGAUGGCGAAGGCAGCCUUCUGGCAUCAUACUGACACUGAGGCUCGAAAGCGUGGGUAGCAAACAGGAUUAGAUACCCUGGUAGUCCACGCCGUAAACGAUGUCUACUAGUCGUUGGGUCCCUUGAGGACUUAGUGACGCAGCUAACGCAAUAAGUAGACCGCCUGGGGAGUACGGCCGCAAGGUUAAAACUCAAAUGAAUUGACGGGGGCCCGCACAAGCGGUGGAGCAUGUGGUUUAAUUCGAUGCAACGCGAAGAACCUUACCUGGUCUUGACAUAUCUAGAAUCCUGCAGAGAUGCGGGAGUGCCUUCGGGAAUUAGAAUACAGGUGCUGCAUGGCUGUCGUCAGCUCGUGUCGUGAGAUGUUGGGUUAAGUCCCGCAACGAGCGCAACCCUUGUCCUUAGUUACCAGCGGGUUAAGCCGGGAACUCUAAGGAUACUGCCAGUGACAAACUGGAGGAAGGCGGGGACGACGUCAAGUCAUCAUGGCCCUUACGACCAGGGCUACACACGUGCUACAAUGGUAGGUACAGAGGGCAGCUACACAGCGAUGUGAUGCGAAUCUCAAAAAGCCUAUCGUAGUCCAGAUUGGAGUCUGCAACUCGACUCCAUGAAGUAGGAAUCGCUAGUAAUCGCGGAUCAGAAUGCC
Molecule: ribosomal RNA, 859 nt
Filed under: Psychrobacter aquaticus
Lineage: Bacteria; Pseudomonadati; Pseudomonadota; Gammaproteobacteria; Moraxellales; Moraxellaceae
Description: bacterial SSU rRNA
Rfam family: Bacterial small subunit ribosomal RNA
Source: RNAcentral